RNAcentral lists this long non-coding RNA (565 nucleotides) under Parus major (Great Tit). RNAcentral describes it as "lncRNA (ENSPMJG00000002657.1)". The record is from RNAcentral. Lineage: Eukaryota; Metazoa; Chordata; Aves; Passeriformes; Paridae.
AAGACUUAUACCCAGUGGGAAGGAAAAAAGCAAAAUUGUUUUCCAUUGCAGGUCAAAUAGCUCAGUCCUAAGGCGUUUGCCUUGAUGACUGUGUGAAGCCAGUGCACUCACUUAGCAGCUACCUCAUUUCUGGGAUGAGAUGUUUCAUUUCACCAGACAGAUUUCUCCACAACAGAGCAAGCACAAAGGAAAUGCUCUUAGAAGAACAAACAACCUUCUGCAGAUGCAGAAGAAAGGCAGAGAAAUAUUAGAUGACUUACCCACAGUCUGUAGCAGGUGAGUGAAAGAAUUAGAUAUAGAACCUCUGGCCUUUCCUCCAAAUAAUCUUGCCUGUGUUUUUGCCACACUAAAAUGAUUUUGCAUAUGUCCUGUCUCAAAAUAUGAAAAAUAUAUGCAAUAUGCAAAGCAGCCAAUUGGACUGCCUUUUGGAAUAUAUCAUCAUUUAUGAACAGUGCAUCUUGAAACCUAAACAGAUUGUGUGCAAUUAAUUGCAAACUGUCAAAGAGACUACAGCACUUUACUGCCAAUUUGUAAAUAAACCCUAGUUUGAAAAAGGACUGAGGCA